RNAcentral lists this transfer RNA (67 nucleotides) under Sophonia linealis. RNAcentral describes it as "tRNA-Pro". The record is from RNAcentral. Lineage: Eukaryota; Metazoa; Arthropoda; Insecta; Hemiptera; Cicadellidae.
CAUUGGAUAUUUUAAUAUAAAAUAUAAAUUUUGGGUAUUUAAGAUGUGUAAGUUUACAUUCCAUUGA